GACAGAUAUAUUUAUAACAAAUAGAUUCUGACAGAAGCAAAGACUUAAAUUCUCAAUUUGUUCCAUAUGUUACAUGUUAUAGAACUUUAUCACUAAUUGGGAACAAUGGGAGCAGUAUUGAGUAUUCAAUAACCACCUUAAAAAAAUCAUGCGCAUAAUAUUAUAGUGAUGGAAUAUUGUAGGAAUAGCAUACGACCAAGGGUUGAAGCUGGCUUAAAGAAAUGGAACAAAUAAGGAAUAUAGAAUAAAAAAUAGAAAAAAAAAAAAUUAUGUACAUAUGGAGAUAUCUGUCUUGACUGGGGACUUCAUAUUCAGAGGAAAAUAGAAUAAACAAUGUUUUCAUUCAGUCCUCUAGGUGUAACGGUGUCUAAACUAUGUAUCCAACGAACCUCCCUUUGUAGCAGCAUUUUGGCUCUGUCUCCCCCUCUAGGUAGGGGCGGGGAUAUGAUCGAUAGCUGUAAAACAUAAAGUCUGUAGUCGGUGUCCCAAGUCCAAAACGUGUUUUGCAACUGGUUUGUCACUAGCGUUGUCACGAAAUGCGGUGGUGAUGGUGAAUUGGUGGCCGCAUAUCCGAUCUCUAAGGGUCAAAUUGGUUUUGCCCACAUAAGACAGUACGCAGGGACAAGUAAUCAUGUAGAUCACAUGGUCAGUGGUACAUGUGAUAUAUUGGGAGAUGUUGAUUCUUUGGCCGCUAUGUGGGUGGUUCCACCGACCAUGUGACACACCCACUACAUUUGAAGCACCCCUUUCUGACAAUUUUAGUUGGUAUUUGAUAGCAGUGUCUAGGAUCGUUUCUCACAAGUAUGUCUCUGAGGUUUCUGUUUCUUUUGUAGCUGAGUGUGGGUGGGCUUUGGAACGUCUUAGGCAGUUGUUUAUCCACUCGUAACAAUCCCCAAACAUACACAUUUUAUAUACACACACACACACACACACACACACUACAGCACCCCUCACACUGCACCACUACACACAUUACACUCCAGAUACACGCUAGAUCCCUUACCCAACUCUGGAUCACCUAAUCUACACACGCACACAAAUACACAUGCUAGUCUCUCCCUCUCUCUCCCUCUCCUUGUAAGCAAACAUACUACAUUCUCUAAACACACACUCUCUACCACCCCUACACACACUACAGCCAGUAUGCACACACUCGCUACAUCCCCUAUACACACAAACUCUCUACAGCCCCUAGCCACACAUAUUACACCACAUAUGAGAAAACCACCUAUUUACACAAUACCACACCACAAUCAGCUCACUCUAUACACACGCAAUCCCACAAGCAGGCUCCAAACACAUGCACGAUACGCUUUCCUGGCCCUUUUGUCCUCUGGAAUGUCACUUAUGUCACCAGAGACUAGUUAAAAGCAAACACAGCGCAAGCGUGUUUCUAAAUUUGCUUACGCUGCGCAGAACAAAUACAGGGCCUUUUUCUCAUGCUAGAGCUCUUCAGCAUGGCUCUGCGCAUUGAACCAACAUGCUCACAUUGAGAGGGGGCGUGCUUGUCAUUAGUGAUGACAAAUCACACCCUCGCUGGCCCCGCUUCCUUCUCAGGAAGCUGCCUGCUGUGAUUGGAAAAUGCCUGCUGCUGUGUAACUGGUGCCUGAAGUCUGUAUGUGCAGCAUUUUGCUAUGAAAUGCUGCAUACACAUUUAUUAAAGGGACACUAUCUGCACAAUAACAACUUUAUUUUACUUCUAACAUAUUUUACCAGGAAGGAUACAUUGAUUUCUCUCAUUUUCAAAUAUGUUCUGACUUUAGCUUAAUUAAGCAGUUUUGGUGUAUAGAUCAUGCCCCUGAGGUCUCACUGCUAGACCCUGUAGGAGCCUCUGGUCUGUGAUUAAAGUUCAAUUUACAGAACACUAGACCAUGUUUUUCAUGCAGGCUGGAUCAGUCACAGCCAGGGAAGGUGUAACUAGGGCAGCAUGGAUAGAAACAAAAGAGAUGUAACACCUCAUAUAUGGUUGAAGAAACCCUCCCAGACACAGAAUGUUGGCAGAUGCCACAUAUAGGUCUUAGACAGAAGAAAUCCAGACAGGGAAGUCCCCUGCACAAUAAGCAAUGCAAAGUGCAUAGAUUGCCAUGGAACUUGGACUGUCACUUUAAGGACAAUAACAUUUUCAUAAUCCAUCAAUUCACAGGAAAACAAUACAAAGCCCAUGCUUUAAUUGAGACAGAUAUCUUUAUGUAGAUUAAAGGAUCACUAUAGGGUCAGGAACACAAACUUGUAUUCCUGACCCUGUAGUCUUAAAACCACUAUCUAACCCCCUUGGCCUCCCUAAAGAUAGUAAAAUCUUACUUGUAAGCUGCUGUCUGUGCCUGUGACCUUCCUCUGACAUCAUCAGAAGUGGUGGCCUGAUCCAAUCACAAUUGAUGAUUAUUUUUAAAAAGUAUAUACUUUUUUAUUGCUUAUAUAAAAAAAAAUCAAAUAUAAAAACAAUACAAAAUAUUACUUGUUAUAGUCCAAUUUAUAUUCCAGAUACCCGUUUCACCGAAGUUCUCAGCUUCCUCAGUUCAGUAAGAAUCAAGUAGUCAUUUAUUACCUUUUAGAGGGCUUUACUUCCUUCAUUGAAGCUAUGUGGAACAACGUUAUCCUAUUCCACUUCCAUCAGGAACGGGACACAUUCCAAACCUCAUUUUCAAUCGUAGGUGCCAUCUUGCUUGCUUCCUUGACACAGCUCAAAUUCCUCUCACUAAGAUCAUCACAUUUGAUGAUAUCUCAUCCUAUCCAAUACUAUGUAGAGAAGCACUGGAUCUGACUCAGCGCAACAUCAGGAAGUGCCUCUAGUGGCUGACUGGUAGCCAAUACAGGCAGUUUUAACUUUGCAAUGAAAACAUUGCAGUUCCUCAAAGGCUGCAAUGUUUUACAUUGCGGGGUUAAGGGGACAGAGAGACUUCACCCAGACCAUUGCAAUGGGAUCAAGUGGUCUGGGUGACUAUAGUGUCCCUUUAAUAAACAUUUGUGUUGAUGGGCUGUGUAUAUGUUUUCUAGAUUGAAAAAAAGUCUUGCACAUAUUCCUCUGAUGUCAGGAGGGUCUCUUAUGAGUCCACAUAGAAUUAGGAGAAUAAGGGGACAUUACUAGCAGGGAAAUCCCUAGUUAUGGCACAACUGUUUAAACUAACACUUCUAUGUUAAAAAAAAAUAAAAAUGUAAUUUUAGUUUUGGAGUUUUCCUUUUUUUGUUCUUGAUUUAGGCACCCCACUUUUUUUUUAAAUUCUUUAUUUUCUGUUGUGCAUGGUAUAACAGUAGGCUUACUCAGCCACAAUAGCAGUCGUAAGCUUAUAACAGGCAUCAUAAACAUAACGUGGCAUAUAAUAAAUAGUCAGCACAGUUUUUAGGGUUUUGUUGUAGGGAAUAGAUUGCACAAUUUUUGUGAUAACAACAGGCAUAGUACAUUGUGGUAGCUUGGUAGUAGUGUGGUAGGGUACAAGCAAGUUGUGCCUCAGAUUUCGGGUGUUAGCCUACAGGCACGUGAGGUGUAUAUGUAAGAACCAUAGCACCUAUAUUUACACCUAUAUUUAGGUCCAUAUUGUACAGGCUGGAGAUAUGUAAGGAACAAGCAGAUAUAUCUUUGGUGAUGUCAGGUGUUAGACUAGUGAGCGGGGAGACUGACAUGUAGGUGGAUCAGCAGCGGUUCUAAGCUCUGUCGCUAUGGUUAAUCUAUGCUUUAAGGUGACUUGUGUGCAUUUGCAAGAUAGGUGAGUUAAGACACAUAGCGCGUCUCCGGUUUGGUUCGUAUUCCAUGGGUGCUUGUGUAUUGCGGUGGCUAGAGGCAUUGUGGGGGUAUGUCAUGGUAAUAAGGCUCCUGAACCCCGGAGUCUGGGGGGGGUGGGGGUGUUUUGCUGCGGGAAGCUUACCAGGUGUCUAAUCUACAGCACGGCAUCAAGCAGAUAAUGUAAGUGGCAUAGAGAUGUAUAACUGGCAUACAAUUUAGGCAUAAACUUAAAUACAAAAAAAAGAAGAAAGGAAAAACACACAAAAGGAAAACAAGGGGGGAGAGUACAUUGCAUCAGUCAGUGUAUUAGCACUCUGAUCGGUUCCUUCAUGGGGUUCCUGUUGAUGAACGGUUGAUUCAUUACCUUAAGAAUCGGGUAGGUGCAUGAUGUCGCUUCCUGCUGGGGCCGUCCCCAUGGGGUGAAUGGUGUUAUGUUGGCUAUAUCCCACCGCUGUGGUGUUUUAGUCUUGGCACCUUCCGUGGGGCGAAUACCCAGUGCUUGUAAGAGUUGUGGUGCUUCUGCUGGUGUUGUUAGUCGGUGGUUUUGACCUUCAUGUGUGGCGAUCAGCAUUCGGGGGUGGCCCCAUCUAUAUUGUAUGUCCGCUGCUCUCAGUUGUGUUGUGAUUACUUUCAUGGAAGCCCGCCACUGCAAUGUUUGGCAACUCAGGUCUUGGAAGAAGUGUAAGGUUAGAUUCUUGAAAGCGUACAGGAUCUGGCCCCUGACAGUACAGAGGAAUCAGUCUUUGUCUGAGCGGGAUUUAAAGCUCAUGAUGACAUCCCUUGUGGUGUCUGGGGCCUCAUAUAUUUUUUUUUUCUUGCUAACUUUUAUUGAUUGAAACAUUGACAGUUUUAUUUAAAACUAUUGGGGUUUAUAUACACUUGCCAAGUGCCCCUGCAGGGAAAUUGUUUUUUUUUCUUUAGGUCCCCGCAAUAUCGUGUCCACUGUUUCUUACUCCAGAGGUGAUGUUUAUAAUCACAAUUCUAACUAAAAUAAAGAUCGUUGUUGUUUAACUUAUGGUAAUACUGUGUGUAAACUACUAAUGCCAGCCAUCACAAUCCUGUACACGUGUUCUAAAUUGACGAUUUCUGUUUUAUAUUUAAGUAGCACCUUUCAAUUUCAAUUUAAAAAAAUAAAAAAAUAACACCC
Molecule: non-coding RNA, 4865 nt
Organism: Pelobates cultripes (western spadefoot toad)
Lineage: Eukaryota; Metazoa; Chordata; Amphibia; Anura; Pelobatidae
Source: the annotation of a GenBank genome assembly